UGCCCGCGCCCCGUAAAACGGGACGGCCCGCCCGAGGACCCCUAAACUCUGUUUUUAGUGGAACUUCUGAGUAAAACAAACAAAUAAAUCAAAACUUUCAACAACGGAUCUCUUGGUUCUGGCAUCGAUGAAGAACGCAGCAAAAUGCGAUAAGUAAUGUGAAUUGCAGAAUUCAGUGAAUCAUCGAAUCUUUGAACGCACAUUGCGCCCGCCAGUAUUCUGGCGGGCAUGCCUGUUCGAGCGUCAUUUCAACCCUCAAGCUCAGCUUGGUGUUGGGACUCGCGGUAACCCGCGUUCCCCAAAUCGAUUGGCGGUCACGUCGAGCUUCCAUAGCGUAGUAAUCAUACACCUCGUUACUGGUAAUCGUCGCGGCCACGCCGUUAAACCCCAACUUCUGAAUGUUGACCUCGGAUCAGGUAGGAAUACCCGCUGAACUUA
This 438-nucleotide ribosomal RNA is filed under the name Fusarium equiseti. RNAcentral describes it as "eukaryotic LSU rRNA". The stretch from base 93 to 246 matches the Rfam family "5.8S ribosomal RNA". Lineage: Eukaryota; Fungi; Ascomycota; Sordariomycetes; Hypocreales; Nectriaceae. The record is from RNAcentral.